AGCUUUGCGCAGUGGCAGUAUCAUAGCCAAUGAGGUGAAUCCGAGGUGUGAUUAUUGCUAUUUGAAAACUUUUCCCAAUACCCCGCCGUGAUGGCUUGAAACAUAGUCAGCAUUGGCAAUUUUUGACAGUCUCUUGUGGGA
Molecule: small nuclear RNA, 141 nt
Filed under: Chelydra serpentina (North American snapping turtle)
Lineage: Eukaryota; Metazoa; Chordata; Testudines; Chelydridae
Description: U4 spliceosomal RNA (ENSCSRG00000009565.1)
Rfam family: U4 spliceosomal RNA
About the family: U4 small nuclear RNA (U4 snRNA) is a component of the major U2-dependent spliceosome. The structure of U4 snRNA from yeast and human has been reported.
Source: Rfam by way of RNAcentral